GAUGAACGCUGGCGGUCUGCUUAACACAUGCAAGUCGAACGGGCUCUUUCGGGAGCUAGUGGCGGAUGGGUGCGUAACGCGUGCGAAUCUGCUAUUUGGAGGGGGCUAACGGUUGCAUGCGACCGUUCAUAAUCCAUGUGCCGAGAGGUAAAAAGUCAUUCGCCAAGGGAUGCGCUCGCGUUGGACUAGCUAGUUGGGGGGGUAAGUGCCAACCAAGCCGACAAUCCGUAGCUGGUCUGAGAGGAUGACCAGACACACUGGGACUGAGACACAGCGCAGACUCCCACGGGAGACAGAAGUGUGGAAAAUUCCGCAAAGGGCGCAAGCCUGACGGAGCAAGACGGCGUGAGGGAAGACAGUCUGUGGAUUGUAAACCGCUUUUGACAGGGAAGAAGUACUGACGGUACCUGUAGAAUCAGCCUCGGCUAACUCCGUG
This 436-nucleotide ribosomal RNA is filed under the name uncultured bacterium. Its description in RNAcentral is "partial 16S ribosomal RNA". It matches the Rfam family "Bacterial small subunit ribosomal RNA", at positions 28 to 507 of the family's 1533-position model. The record is from RNAcentral.